GAGCCUUCCACUCACAAUCUGUGGUAAAUUUUGUCAUUAUAAAAAUUUCAGUAACAAUUUCUUGCAGGCAAGUAAACAUUAAUAAUAUUGACAGAUUCAGACCUAGAGACUAUAUCAAUGUAAGAGUAUUUUUUUGUGACAGAUAGAUGAUCCACAGUAAAACUGGGUGGCCUACUGGCCUAGUAGGGCAAAACUUUUGAUAAGUCAAAUAAACCACUCACACAAAG
Molecule: unclassified non-coding RNA, 227 nt
Filed under: Hevea brasiliensis (rubber tree)
Lineage: Eukaryota; Viridiplantae; Streptophyta; Magnoliopsida; Malpighiales; Euphorbiaceae
Source: RNAcentral